AGUGUAGGCGGCUAUUUAAGUCGGAUGUGAAAGCCCCGGGCUCAACCUGGGAAUUGCAUUCGAAACUGGGUAGCUAGAGUUUGGUAGAGGUAAGUGGGAUUCCAGGUGUAGCGGUGAAAUGCGUAGAUAUCUGGAGGAACAUCAGUGGCGAAGGCGGCUUACUGGACCAAAAUUGACGCUGAGGCUCGAAAGCGUGGGGAGCAAACAGGAUUAGAUACCCUGGUAGUCC
This 229-nucleotide ribosomal RNA is filed under the name uncultured bacterium. RNAcentral describes it as "partial 16S ribosomal RNA". It matches the Rfam family "Bacterial small subunit ribosomal RNA", at positions 568 to 796 of the family's 1533-position model. The record is from RNAcentral.